This 657-nucleotide ribosomal RNA is filed under the name Rhodotorula glutinis. Its description in RNAcentral is "eukaryotic LSU rRNA". The stretch from base 168 to 321 matches the Rfam family "5.8S ribosomal RNA". The record is from RNAcentral. Lineage: Eukaryota; Fungi; Basidiomycota; Microbotryomycetes; Sporidiobolales; Sporidiobolaceae.
GGCAAAGGUGAUCUAGGGACGUCCACUUAACUUGCGAGUCCGAACUCUCACUUUCUAACCCUGUGCAUCUGUUUUAAAAUUGGCUAGUAGCUCUUCGGAGCGAACCACCAUUUUUCACUUAUACAAACACAAAGUCUAUGAAUGUAAACAAAUUUAUAACAAAACAAAACUUUCAACAACGGAUCUCUUGGCUCUCGCAUCGAUGAAGAACGCAGCGAAAUGCGAUACGUAAUGUGAAUUGCAGAAUUCAGUGAAUCAUCGAAUCUUUGAACGCACCUUGCGCUCCUUGGUAUUCCGAGGAGCAUGCCUGUUUGAGUGUCAUGAAAUCUUCCACCCACCUCUUUCUUAGUGAAUCUGGUGGUGCUUGGUUUCUGAGCGCUGCUCUGCUUCGGCUUAGCUCGUUCGUAAUGCAUUAGCAUCCGCAACCGAAACUUCGGAUUGACUUGGCGUAAUAGACUAUUCGCUGAGGAUUCCAGACUUGUUCUGGAGCCGAGUUGGGUUAAGGAAGCUUCUAUCCUAAAGUCUAUUUUUGAUAGAUCUCAAUCAGUAGGACUACCCGCUGAACUUAGCAUAUCAUAGCGGAGGAAACGAUCUUUGUGCACCUGGACGUCCACUUACCUGCACCCGACUCCCCUUUCUACCCGGGCACCGUUUGAA